GAUGAAGAACGCAGCGAAAUGCGAUAAGUAAUGUGAAUUGCAGAAUUCAGUGAAUCAUCGAAUCUUUGAACGCACAUUGCGCCCCCUGGUAUUCCGGGGGGCAUGCCUGUCCGAGCGUCAUUUCUGCCCUCCAGCCCGGCUGGGUGUUGGGCGCUGUCCCCCCGGGGACACGCCCCAAAGGCAGUGGCGGCGCCGCGUCGGGUCCUCGAGCGUAUGGGGCUUUGUCACCCGCUCGGGACGGACUCGUCGGCGCUGGUCUUCCUCCAGGCGACCCUUCGGGGCUCGUCUUCCUUCGGUUGACCUCGGAUCAGGUAGGGUUACCCGCUGAACUUAAGCAUAUCAAUAAGCGGAGGA
Molecule: unclassified non-coding RNA, 354 nt
Filed under: soil metagenome
Description: partial contains 5.8S ribosomal RNA, internal transcribed spacer 2, and large subunit ribosomal RNA
Rfam family: 5.8S ribosomal RNA (bases 1-120)
Source: RNAcentral